GUGGGGAAUAUUGGGCAAUGGGCGAAAGCCUGACCCAGCAACGCCGCGUGAGGGAAGAAGGCCUUAGGGUCGUAAACCUCUGUUGUGUGGGAAGAAGAGCGUGACGGUACCACACGAGGAAGUCCCGGCUAACUACGUGCCAGCAGCCGCGGUAAUACGUAGGGGACGAGCGUUGUCCGGAUUUACUGGGCGUAAAGGGCGCGUAGGCGGUCAUUUAAGUCAGCUGUGAAAUGGUUUGGCUUAACCGGAUCAUGCGGUUGAAACUGGAUGACUGGAGUGCUGGAGAGGCAAGUGGAAUUCCCAGUGUAGCGGUGAAAUGCGUAGAUAUUGGGAAGAACACCGGUGGCGAAGGCGACUUGCUGGCCAGCAACUGACGCUGAGGUUCGAAAGCGUGGGUAGCAAACAGGAUUAGAAACCCGGGUAGUCC
Molecule: ribosomal RNA, 427 nt
Filed under: uncultured bacterium
Lineage: Bacteria
Description: partial 16S ribosomal RNA
Rfam family: Bacterial small subunit ribosomal RNA
Source: RNAcentral